UACGUAGGUGGCAAGCGUUGUCCGGAUUUACUGGGCGUAAAGAGCGCGCAGGCGGCUGAUUAAGUCGAAUGUGAAAGCCCCCGGCUCAACUGGGGAGGGUCAUUCGAUACUGAUCAACUUGAAGGCAGGAGAGAGAAGUGGAAUUCCCGGUGUAGUGGUGAAAUGCGUAGAUAUCGGGAGGAACGCCAAAGGUGAAAACAGGUUGCUGGGGUUGUGCCGACGCUGAGACACGAAAGCCAGGGGAGCAAACGGG
This 253-nucleotide ribosomal RNA is filed under the name uncultured bacterium. RNAcentral describes it as "partial 16S ribosomal RNA". It matches the Rfam family "Bacterial small subunit ribosomal RNA", at positions 524 to 776 of the family's 1533-position model. The record is from RNAcentral.